Molecule: ribosomal RNA, 513 nt
Filed under: uncultured bacterium
Lineage: Bacteria
Description: partial 16S ribosomal RNA
Rfam family: Bacterial small subunit ribosomal RNA
Source: RNAcentral
GACGAACGCUGGCGGCAUGCCUAAUACAUGCAAGUCGAGCGAACAGAUGAAGUGCUUGCACUUCUGACGUUAGCGGCGAACGGGUGAGUAACACGUAAGGAAUCUACCUAUAAGCGGGGGAUAACAUUCGGAAACGGGUGCUAAUACCGCAUAAUAUCUUCUUCCGCAUGGAAGAAGAUCGAAAGACGGCUCUGCUGUCACUUAUAGAUGACCUUGCGGUGCAUUAGUUAGUUGGGGGGGUAACGGCCUACCAAGACGAUGAUGCAUAGCCGACCUGAGAGGGUAAUCGGCCACAUUGGGACUGAGACACGAACCAAACUCCUACGGGAGGCAGCAGUAGGGAAUCUUCCGCAAUGGGCGAAAGACUGACGGAGCAAUGCCGCGUGAGUGAAGAAGGCCUUCGGGUCGUAAAACUCUGUUAUAAGAGAAGAACAAAUUGUAGAGUAACUGCCACAGUCUUGACGGUAUCUUAUCAGAAAGCCACGGCUAACUACGUGCCAGCAGCCGCCGUAA